CCUACGGGAGGCAGCAGUAGGGAAUCUUCCGCAAUGGACGAAAGUCUGACGGAGCAACGCCGCGUGAACGAUGAAGGCCUUCGGGUCGUAAAGUUCUGUUGUUAGGGAAGAACAAGUGCUAGUUAAAUAAGCUGGCACCUUGACGGUACCUAACCAGAAAGCCACGGCUAACUACGUGCCAGCAGCCGCGGUAAUACGUAGGUGGCAAGCGUUGUCCGGAAUUAUUGGGCGUAAAGCGCGCGCAGGCGGUUUCUUAAGUCUGAUGUGAAAGCCCCCGGCUCAACCGGGGAGGGUCAUUGGAAACUGGGAAACUUGAGUGCAGAAGAGGAAAGUGGAAUUCCAAGUGUAGCGGUGAAAUGCGUAGAGAUUUGGAGGAACACCAGUGGCGAAGGCGACUUUCUGGUCUGUAACUGACGCUGAGGCGCGAAAGCGUGGGGAGCAAACAGGAUUAGAUACCCUGGUAGUCCACGCUGUAAACGAUGAGUGCUAAGUGUUAGAGGGUUUCCGCCCUUUAGUGCUGAAGUUAACGCAUUAAGCACUCCGCCUGGGGAGUACGGUCGCAAGACUGAAACUUAAAUGAAUUGACGGCUUGAGAGNGCGAGCGACACGAGGAGGAGG
RNAcentral lists this ribosomal RNA (618 nucleotides) under uncultured bacterium. RNAcentral's name for it is "bacterial SSU rRNA". It matches the Rfam family "Bacterial small subunit ribosomal RNA", at positions 338 to 944 of the family's 1533-position model. The record is from RNAcentral.